This 253-nucleotide ribosomal RNA is filed under the name uncultured bacterium. RNAcentral describes it as "partial 16S ribosomal RNA". It matches the Rfam family "Bacterial small subunit ribosomal RNA", at positions 524 to 776 of the family's 1533-position model. The record is from RNAcentral.
GACGUAGGGCGCGAGCGUUGUUCGGAUUUAUUGGGCGUAAAGAGCUCGUAGGCGGCUUGUCGCGUCGACUGUGAAAACCCGCGGCUCAACUGCGGGCCUGCAGCCGAUACGGGCAGGCUAGAGUUCGGUAGGGGAGACUGGAAUUCCUGGUGUAGCGGUGAAAUGCGCAGAUAUCAGGAGGAACACCGGUGGCGAAGGCGGGUCUCUAGUACGGUACUGACGCUGAGACGCGAAAGCGUGGGGAGCGAACAGG